RNAcentral lists this ribosomal RNA (429 nucleotides) under Gemmatimonadota bacterium. Its description in RNAcentral is "Gemmatimonadetes bacterium partial 16S ribosomal RNA". It matches the Rfam family "Bacterial small subunit ribosomal RNA", at positions 355 to 776 of the family's 1533-position model. The record is from RNAcentral. Lineage: Bacteria; Pseudomonadati; Gemmatimonadota.
UAGGGAAUCUUCGGCAAUGGACGAAAGUCUGACCGAGCAACGCCGCGUGAGUGAAGAAGGUCUUCGGAUCGUAAAACUCUGUUGUUAGAGAAGAACAAGGACGUUAGUAACUGAACGUCCCCUGACGGUAUCUAACCAGAAAGCCACGGCUAACUACGUGCCAGCAGCCGCGGUAAUACGUAGGUGGCAAGCGUUGUCCGGAUUUAUUGGGCGUAAAGCGAGCGCAGGCGGUUUCUUAAGUCUGAUGUGAAAGCCCCCGGCUCAACCGGGGAGGGUCAUUGGAAACUGGAAGACUUGAGUGCAGAAGAGGAGAGUGGAAUUCCAGGUGUAGCGGUGAAAUGCGUAGAUAUAUGGAGGAACACCGGUGGCGAAGGCGGCUCUCUGGUCUGUAACUGACGCUGAGGCUCGAAAGCGUGGGGAGCAAACAGG